Molecule: ribosomal RNA, 278 nt
Filed under: uncultured bacterium
Lineage: Bacteria
Description: partial 16S ribosomal RNA
Rfam family: Bacterial small subunit ribosomal RNA
Source: RNAcentral
UGCCAGAGCCGCGGUAAUACUGAAGGUGCGAGCGUUAAUCGGAAUUACUGGGCGUAAAGCGCGCGUAGGCGGCUUGGUAAGUCGGAUGUGAAAUCCCCGGGCUCAACCCGGGAACUGCAUUCGAUACUGCCAGACUAGAGUGUACUAGAGGGAAGUGGAAUUCCGGGUGUAGCGGUGAAAUGCGUAGAUAUCCGGAGGAACAUCAGUGGCGAAGGCGACUUCCUGGAGUAACACUGACGCUGAGGUGCGAAAGCGUGGGGAGCAAACAGGAUUAGAUA